Molecule: ribosomal RNA, 334 nt
Filed under: uncultured fungus
Lineage: Eukaryota; Fungi
Description: eukaryotic LSU rRNA
Source: RNAcentral
AACGCACAUUGCACUCUCUGGUAUUCCGGAGAGUAUGCUUGUUUGAGUAUCUGUAAACAUCUCAAAUCUCUCGACUUUCGAGUCUGAGAGAAUUGGACUUGAGCAAUCCCAACUCCUUCGUCAGAAAGAGGAGGGUUGCUUGAAAUGCAGGUGCAGCUGGACAUUCUUCUGAGCUAAAAGCAUAUUUAUUUAGUCCCGUCAAACGGAUUAUUAUUCUUGCUUCAGCUUACAUAAAGGUUGAAUGACUACCAAGGCUGAUUGCAGGUAAACUCGUUCCGUUAAAAGAACUUGUGAACUCGAUCUCAAAUCAAGUAAGACUACCCGCUGAACUUAA